RNAcentral lists this long non-coding RNA (1324 nucleotides) under Astyanax mexicanus (Mexican tetra). RNAcentral describes it as "lncRNA (ENSAMXG00005012088.1)". Lineage: Eukaryota; Metazoa; Chordata; Actinopteri; Characiformes; Acestrorhamphidae. The record is from RNAcentral.
AAAAUGUUCUUCUCUGGUUCUUUUAAGGUGAUACCAGCAAGGACGAGACCACCAGCGGGCCGGAUUCAGUAGAUUCUGGUGAAGGCGUGGUGGAGAAGAAGGACCCAGAUACACCAGACGAGACAGAAACAGGAAGUGAUUCUCCAGACACAGACUCUGCUUCUAAAGCAUCUCAGGAAACAGACUCUCCAGAUGGAGCAGAGAAGGACGCUGAUGAUAAGACUGAUACGGAUAAAGAUUCUUCCAGUAAGGAGCAGUCAGACACCGACUCAGCGGAUCAGAAGGAUUCCUCAGAGGACACAUCGGAUACACCUGAUGCUGCAGACAAAGAAACUUUUGACUCAAACGAGUCAGACAAGGACAAGACAGAUACCAGCAAUGACACGGAGAAGGACAGUAAGGAGAAGGACAGUAAGGAGAAGGACAGAGACGUGGAGGAUUCAGACACUCCCGACAAAGAAGUAAAGGACACUGAUAAAGACAGCAGCGAGACUGAAGACACUGACGAGAAGGAGAAGAGUGAUAAAUCAGGUGCAGACAAAACAGAUCCUGAUCGCUCUUCAGAAAAAGGAGACAGCAAAUGCAGACAGCGAUGCAGACAGUGGCGUAGACAGCACAGGUCCAAAAGGCGAGGAUGAAGGUUUAGACAAGGACAAGGACAGCUCACACAAGACCAGCGACGACACCAGCAACGACAGCAAUGAGGGAAAAGAGAUCGAGAGGGAAACCACGACUGAAAACGAAGACAAAGACUCUGAGAAAUCUAAAGAGACCGCCGAAGAACCGUCUUCUGUAGACUCCCAGGAAAGCCAAAAGACCGCCUCCUCCAGCUCAGACUCCUCCCACUCCUCAAGCAAAGAAAACAACCAGGACCAGGAGAAGAGCAGCGCCGAGUCCACUGAUAAAGACAGCUCAGACAGUUCGGACCGGGACAGCACCGAGACCGAGGGAGAGGAUGAAAACGACAACAGCGACUCGAUGGACGCAACAGAGUCGACGUCACAUGAUGAGACCACUGAUGAAGAGACGGACACAGACACUACUGUCAGUCCCAUCGACGUCCCGGACCAGUCAGGUCAUAUAGACAACACAACACAAGUGCCUGAUGGGAUACCCCCCCCCGGUCAGGUCUUAGCAUCCAGGAUAUAAUAACAUGCAGCAGUUUAACAGGGUCAUCCGACACAACAACAGAAGCAACUCAAGUGGCCAUAAUAACCCGUCGCAUUCUGAUUCCCGUUAACACACGACACGUUUAAAUGCCAUCUCUCUCUCUCUCUCUCUCUCUCUCUCUCACAUGGUGAAGGGUUCUAUCUAGAGGGUUCUG